CCUACGGGAGGCAGCAGUAGGGAAUUUUCGGCAAUGGGGGGAACCCUGACCGAGCAACGCCGCGUGAACGAAGAAGUUAUUCGUAAUGUAAAGUUCUUUUAACAGGGAAGAAAGAGAACUUUGACGGUACCUGAAGAAUAAGCUCCGGCUAACUACGUGCCAGCAGCCGCGGUAAUACGUAGGGAGCGAGCGUUAUCCGGAAUUAUUGGGCGAAAAGGGUGCGUAGAUGGCAUAGUAAGUCUUUUGUAAAAAUGCUGGGCUCAACCCAGUAGGGCAAAAGAUACUGCAAAGCUAGAGUAUGACAGAGGCAAGUGGAACUACAUGGGUAGCGGUAAAAUGCGUAAAUAUAUGUAAGAACACCAGUGGCGAAGGCGGCUUGCUGGGUCGAUACUGACAUUGAGGCACGAAAGCGUGGGGAGCAAACAGGAUUAGAUACCCCUGUAGUC
Molecule: ribosomal RNA, 446 nt
Filed under: uncultured bacterium
Lineage: Bacteria
Description: partial 16S ribosomal RNA
Rfam family: Bacterial small subunit ribosomal RNA
Source: RNAcentral